AAUAUUUAGAGUUAAAUGUAUUUUUAAUUCCUCAAUUAUUAAACAAUUUUAUUUUUUAUUAUUUUUUAAAUUUUGGUAUACUUUGAUUCUUGUCAUUAAGGAAACUAUAAUUUUUCGUCCUCCAUAAUCAACGUUGUUAAAAUUAGGCUGAGUUGACUAACGGAUUGCCACACCAUUUUUUCUUUUUCUGACAGUAAGUCAAUCUUUCUCGGCUUCUCUCCCUCCUUCUCCCUUCAUCUCCUUCCUUGCGUCUUUGGUUGGGGUCUCCAUCGCUUGGGUUAAGAACUUUGGCAAGCAGUAUCAGGAGGUGAACGCCUGAUACGUUGCGCAAGGACCCCACCGUAUCCACCAAGAUCGAUGAUCUCUGCGAGGCAAUUGAUCUAUAUAUCCUGCAUGAAUCAAUAAUGAACUAAGGAAAAAAAAACAAGACAAAGAAAACAAACAAAAUAAUUGUCCAAAUACUAGUACUAUUCAAUCCUAAAUACCAAUCAAAAGGAAUUAGGGAAUGUAAUCACCUUCUACUUCAGGUUUUGAAGAAAGCAAAAGUCAACUUCUGACAAGUUUUUUGAGCAAGUCAUCAUUUUUAAGAUCAAGUGAAGCAAGGGUCCUGUCUAGCCUCUCCCUAUAAUGCACAAUCUUCCUUUUCUUCUCCAUCUUUACAUCUCCUGUUAAUAACCUUUCUAUCAAAAAGUCAAUUCACGAGCACAGACAUACAAAUGAUUUCUUCUCUUCUCUAUUUACUCCAACAGAAAAUCACUGUGGUACAACAAGAUAAGCCAAUCGGGUAUAAAAACUCUCAUCUCAUCAUGUAACAAACACAAAAAAAUUGCACGCGUAAUUAGGCAGAACUCUUGAAAGGUUUCUUUCUAAUAGCCAAAGAAAUGAAACUUCCUGCUAAAUUUACUCCUAUAUGUCGUUGAUCAAUUCCAUUUGAACCGCGCACACGAAAAAAUAAUUCCAAGAAGGAGCAAAAUAGCUAAAUACAUGAAUUCAUAUCCUAGACUCACGCAAACAAUCAAAUGAAACUACAUGACAAAAAGAAUUUGAAGUCAACGAAAUCAACAAACCAAAAUCAAAUUCCAAGACUGAAGUCCACAAGGGUCAAUCAAAAAUUGAAAGAAGCCCAAAUAAGGAAAAAAGCUAACAAAGCAUAAAGGUAGAGAAAUCAAAACGCCCCACAAGCCAUGAGAAGCAACAACUUAAAAAGAUGAGAACUUUAUUGAGAAUAUCAAAAAAUAGAAAGACAUGAUUUAUGAACCUUGGCUUUGGGAGUGGUGGCUUUCAAUGUUGAUAACUUGUGAAGAAUGCAGAAACAGAAAAAAGAUGCAUGAAACAUUUACUUUCUUCUUUAAUCAUGAAAAAUUUACUUCCAGAUUCUUCAUCCAAUCUUGAAUUAUAGACAAUAAUUCUCUUUUGUUUAGGUUUAACUGUGAAAUUGAAAUUGAUGAUUGCGGUGAGAAGGAAGACAUUGCACAAUGUGGAGCUUUUUGAAAAUUGUGGAUUUAGGGUUCUGUGAUUUAGGUGUUCCUGGGUUUUGAUUUAAGUCUCUAUGGUGGUGGAAGAUGAAUUGAUGCACGAUGAAAUUUUUGGACUUCGAUUUGGCUUCGUGAUGGUGGUUUGGGUUUGCAGGUUUGCUUCGCCAUGGCAGCGUGAAGGUCCUGCGGCGGUGAAGAUGAAAACGAUGAUGGUGGAAGGUGGUGGUUUAACGAUGUUAUGGUGGUGGUGGUUUAACGAUGUUAUGAAUGAGAGUUUUUAAGUGUACAACACUACUAUCAAACGUGGCAAACAAUGGAUAAAUAAGUUAACAUCAUACACAAUACACUGCUAGCAACAUCAGAUUAAAUUUAAUAUUGUUAGUUUUCGAAAACUAAAAAUUAAAAUUUCUUAAAAUCAAAGAACAAAGUAUACUAAAAUUUAAAAGAAGAACAAAAACUAAAAUUGCUUAAUAGUUGAAAAACUAAAAAUAUAUUUAAAUUAUAUAUUUAUAAUAAAAACACAUAUGCUUAAAUGAAUGUGUAAGAUCCAAAAGAAAAGAAAAGGAAAAGAAUAAAAUAAAAUGAAAGAAUAAUAGUUGUGGUUGAGUUAUAUGUGUAGAAAUCUGAUUUGAAAGGCAUGCAUUAAAUAAAUAUUAGUUAUAGAGGAAUUAUCAAUAAAUUCUGGUUGGUGUAAUGGCAUAGCACAAAGGCCUUGUGAGUUUUGUUUUAUUUUAAUCUUUUUAGUGGGUGGGACCCACUAUUAUUGUUAGAAGUGUGAAGAUAACUUCUACUUUCAACUAUUUAAGACACAAAAUAGUAUACAAUCUGUAGAGGUUAUGAUAAAAUUGUUGGAUGAAGUGAAGUAAAAAUAAUAAAAACUAUGAUAUAUUAAUAAUUUUUUUUAACAAUUUUUUGAUAAUUAUAUGUGUUACUAUUUUACUAUUUUAUUUAUUUAUAUAUUUAAAACGAAUUAAUUAUGAGUUAUUAUAUAAUUGUAAAAAAUUAUAAAAAAAACAUUUUCCAAAUAAUAAUUAUGUAUUUUGUAAAAAUAUAUUUGAAAAAUACUUGUUACGAACUUCAUUAACUUUGAAGUUUUCAAUAACAAUAUAAUCUAAUAAUUAAAGUGAACUAGUUAAUAAUUUGGGUUGAACAUAAUUAACUUAAUUAUAAAUAAACUAUAAAUUAUUUAUACUAUUUUGUAUUAUAAAAAUUAAAUUAUUUUUAUAAAAGCUGAAUUAUACUUUUUUACUUCAGUUUAAAAAAUUAAACUUCUUUUAUUAACAGUUAAUUAAUUAUUUUAUGUUUUACUUUUGUUUGAAACUUUUCCUUAUUUAUUUACCUCGUUUUUUUAAAUUUUUUUUCACCAACACAUAAGAAAGUAGGAAAUAAGACACGUAUCCUUAAUAUCUUUCAGGUUAUAUAUAUAUAAAGACGAAAAUUUGUUGUGUGCUUUUGUCAAUGCUUGUUCUUUUUCUUUAAGCUUCUCUCCUUUAUUAUCUAAUUUUUUGUUAUCAGUCACUUACUUUUCAAAGAUACCCUAUCACUCAAAUUAAUAUUCUUAAUUAGUCUUUUAUCUUAAUAUCCGUCUAACAAUUGUUCAAUUACCUUUGAAGCUUGUUUAGCAUGAUAAUCUCAUAAUUAAUUACUAAAUUUGUCUUUCUUUGCAAUCGAUUGUUCAUGAGACUUUAACCGAGACAACAUAAGACUAACCAAAUCAAUCCAUAUGACUUUCUCAUCUUAUAUCUCACGUCACAAUAAAUAUAUAUACACAAAAUCUAAUUUAGUAUAUAUUAUUCGUAUAUUUUGUUUUACAUUUAGUUAUAUUUGAAAAUUAAAAUAAAUAUAAACUACUCAAACGUUAAAAGUAAUUAUAUAAUGCACAUUACAAACUAUGCAUGACUAACUAUCACUAUUUUUUUCAUUUUAAAAAAGUUACAGAGAUUUAGAAGUAACUAUUUCACAGAAAUUAUUUACAACUUAUUUCUAAAUGACUUAAAAUUAUAUUUUAAUAUUUCAUCUUAAUAUUUUUAUGUUAUUUUUUAUUCUUUUAAUAUUAUAUUUGAGGGAUUUAAUAAUAAAAAUUAAAAUAAAUUUUAAUCUCUGAAUUAAUUAAAAAAUUAUGAUUAAAAAUAUGCGUAUUAUGUGUCGUGUCGUGUGUGUGGUACAUAAUAUAUAAUAUAUAAUUUUCUAUUAUCUGUGUAAGCGUAUAAUAAUAAAUCAUUUUUUACUUAAUCAUGCUUUAAGUUUUAAUAAAUUUAGGAUUUUUUAAUUAACUCUCUAAUAAAAUUAUAGUGAUUAUUCAGUAAAUUUAUAUUUUCCAAUAAUAAUGUAGUUUUCGCUGUUAAUUUUUGUUUGUUAAUUAAAUGGUACUCUUAAGUGAUUAGUAUAGUUGUUAUCUUACCACGUCAUGUUGGAUUCUUCUUAUGUUAUUUUAUGAUUUUAAAAUUUUAAAAUUUAUGAUUUUAAUUGUUUUUGCUUAAUAUCUUCGUAAUAGGUAAUUUUUUAUAAUGACAGAUAUAUCAUUUGAAAAUGACCAAAAUGUGAGUUUAUUUACUAAAAAUGUAUGACGUGUUGACUGUAUAAAUGAUUCCAAAUCCAGUUAAAAACUAAACCUUUUAUGACAGAAUAAAAUAGUAUUAAGUUUAAUUUGUUUUCUACUCUUCUUAAUAUAGAAGAAAAAGAAUGGUAAAAUAAUUUUCAUUAUAUUUCAUCGAUUUAAACAAAAAAUAAUACAUAUUUUAUUAUUACUCAUCUAGAUGUAACAUGGUUUGGAGUGCGAGUCCAGCAACAGACGCGGCCCACAGAAAAGUAUAAUAUCAACAAUAAUUACAUAUAUAUUUUCAUUAUCAACAAAAAUUACGUAUAUAAUGAAUGCAAUUAUUAGCAAUGUUUUUCACAAUCAUUUAGCUUUUCUAUAUUAAUUUAUAAAAGUUUUAAUUUACAUAAAAACUAAAUUUUAUUUUUUUAUUCUUCCUCUUAAAAUUAUAGAUAGAGAAACUUUUUAAAGUACAGACCGUAACCACUACGUUGCAUCCAAGUUGCAACUCAGAGCUGGAACUUUGUCGGUGACAACCUAAGUACUUUUCUUCUUCUUACACGUGCUAAACACCAUUUUGUUUUCAAGUUUAAGACAAAAUUUAAGAUUAAGAAAAAGCCAUUUUCAUUAACCAAUUAUAAUUUAUUUGGUUACUUUUCUUUCCUCAUGACUUGCUUUAACAGGAAUAAUAGGUAAGUUAUGAAUAAAUGUUCAUCCUUUUUUGCAUAUGAAACUUUGUUUUCAUGAUUAAGUGACAACCCAAUCUAACACAACAUCUUGAGACAUGUCAAGAUCUCACCAUAAACAAGGAUAAUAAUAUUUCAAUAAUUUCUUUUUAAAAGUUUUUUUUUAUAAUGUGUCACUAUUUUAUUGUUUUGUUUGAACUUAUUCUAAAAAAAUAUUUGAAACAGACUAAUUAUAAAUUGUCACGUAUGUAUUGUAAAAAAAUUGUCAAAAAAAUUGUUAAAGAGAUAUUUUAUUUAGUAUAAUGUGCUGUAUUAUUUUAAUUAUAUGAUGUUUUGUUUUUGUUUAGGGAGUGCAUACACAUUCCCUAUUGUUUUGCCGACAGCAUGCUUUUAAUAAUCUCAUCGUUCUAAUAAAACUACAAUAGUUAGGAUCGUUGCAAAACUUGCUUCCUCAUCAACCUCUAUUUUAAUCAAAUUAUCGUCUUCAACAUUUGCUUUAAGAAACUUUCAGAUCUCAGAUUUCAUUUUUCAUUUUUUUUUCCAAUAAAAUUUGAAAAAAUAAAUUUUUGUUGUAUAUUUUAUUUUUUUGAAGAAGGAAGAUAAAAGUAGUGUUUACCAUUCCUACAGAUCUGGGUUGAAGAAGCAUUGACAAGUUAAUAAUAAUAAGUGACUUCCUAAUUUUCCCUCCAAUCAACAAUCUCAUAAAAGACGAAAUUCCGAUCUUGCCCUCGCUUCUAGCCGAAGCAGUGACGUGGCGACAUCAGUGAGGAGAAUGAAGUAAUAACCGUACCAGGAGUAACCGGAGAAAAAGCUUCACCUCGUUCUUCACCCCCUUAUUAUAUUACUCUCUCUGCUCUCAACGAACAUAACAAUACGAAUUCGAAAGACCUCACACAGAUCUAUCGUUCUCUUCUUUUUCUCUCUGUCGUUUCGAUCUCAAACGCUAUGGCGUUUUGGAGGUCCUUGACGUUCUCCGCGAUUCUUCUUCCACUCUUCAUCCAUGGCGCACUCUGCUUCUACCUCCCUGGCGUUGCUCCACAGGACUUCCAGAAGGUUCACUCCAUUUGCAUUUCCAUUUCCAUCUCACAUUACGCGCACUGGUUCAUUUUUCCAAAUUUAUCGUUUAUUCGCUUCAUAACCGCUUGAUCUGCGUUUGAAUCUGAGAUCUGAGAUGAAUAUGGCCGAUGUUAUAUUCGAUUUACAUUGUUUCUUAUUUUUCUUUUUAUUUAGGCUGUGAUUUUCGGUUUUUCGCUGCAUUUUCUAAGUGAUAGUUUGGCGACAUUGUGGUGUUAGUGUACAAGGCCUUUUGUAUGUGGAAGUGUUGUUGUUGAUAUUGUGUGUGUUAAUUUAACUUCGAUCUGGUGUCGGUGAAAUGGUUUAGUUGCUUCGGUGCGGUGUGUGUGACGCAUUUUGAUGAUUUGAUCCGUUCUAGUCUCUGUGAUAAUGUUAGACUCUGUUGUUGAAAUGGUGUUGUCAGUUGAUGGAAUUUAAGCUCAGCUUGUAAUGUAAUAAGCAUGGAGACUUCUAAAUGCUAGCAGUGUUGGAUACGUGCUCAUGUUAAUUCUUAGAUACUCAAUGGAAGCUUCAAUAACUAAAUGUGUUUUAGCAUUCUAUUAUAUUAUGUCUACAGUGACCUUUACUCAUUUUUGAAACAUGAAUUCUUCACUGUGAUUUAAAUUUUUAAUUUUAUUUUAGUUUUAAGAUUAAAUUUACGAGUGUAUUAUCUCAUGGUUUUUGGAAUUUGUCUUAUCUCUAGCCCUUGCCCCAAUAUUGUUUUCAAUUUUCCAAUGUCGUGUCCAUGCUCCCUAACAUGUAUCUAGAAGUAGCCUGUUUGAAGUGCAGGCAUGGAGUGUGUGAAGAUUUUGGAUAUAGGUCUGGUAGUGUGUUUACUAUUUACGUUGUUUCAUCGGUGAGUUUUACUGAUUUCUCUACUUUCAUGGAUUGAUUAAAGAAGUAAAGGGUCAAGUGGGACUUUGAGAAGAGCUUAAUAUUGUUUUACUUGAAACAAAUUUUGACUGAUAGAUUAACUCCUCACACUCACCACACACACACACACACAGAGUUUGUGGUACUUGUUUUGUGUUGUUUUGAUAUGGAGAAUAGAAUCAAAUUUUGUUUUCUGAGUAUUGUUUCACAAAUUCAUGAAAAAAGUAUUCUAUGUACAGCCCGGCUAAUUUGUCCAAGGCUGAUAGGUAGCUGUGUCUUGGGAUUGUAAAUGUGACCUUUUGGUUCCCUAGAAGAUAAAUAUUUAGAUUUUCAUAUGCCUCUACUCAACAACCACUUGUGGCCUACUAUUGUGAAUGUGCUAAUGAUGUACUUUGUUCUUUCACUUUGUUGAUUCUGGUUAUAUUUCUUUUCUAUUUGUUUCUUUAUGGACAAUCGCACAUUUAAACUUAAUAAUUAUUCUUCUUUGGGUGGUUUUUGUUGUCCCCUGUUUUCUUUUAACAUAUAACAACCCAUCAAAUGAAUUGGGUGCACACAAUUAUUAUGUAAUUAAGCUUUCGGUCUUCCUGGUUUUUCUUGUUAGUAUUGUUUUCUACCCUUGUAUUCUUGCUGUCCAGUUUUGACUUUUAAAUUAAUAAUAACGGAUAUCCAGAAAUGCAUGGAUAGAUAUAUUUAUUUAUUGACUAUCUAUUCAUACGGUGCAGGGAGAUCCAUUGCAAGUAAAAGUAAACAAAUUAACUUCAACGAAGACUCAGCUUCCAUAUACAUACUAUUCUCUUCCGUAUUGUGCACCAGAGAAAAUAUUGGAUAGCGCUGAAAAUCUUGGAGAAGUGCUUCGUGGUGAUCGCAUUGAAAAUUCUCGAUAUGUGGUAUGUUUCAUAUGGCAUUUUUAAUUCUUGCAUGGCUAAUUAUGUUAUGGUUAUCAACUUAGUUACUGGGUGACAUAUUUGCAGUUUAAGAUGCGUGAACCACAAAUGUGCAAUAUUGUGUGUAAGCUUAAGCUUGAUGCCAAAACUGCAAAAGAGUUCAAAGAGAAGAUUGAUGAUGAGUAUCGAGUGAACAUGUAUGGCGUUCAAUAACUUUCAUAUGUUUUCAUUCCACAUCUCUGCCACAAUGUUGACAUCUUGUUACCUGCCUUUUACUUGCAGGAUCCUAGAUAACCUUCCUCUAGUUGUUCCCAUAAAACGGGUGGAACCGGACUCUACUGUAUAUCAACUUGGUUUCCAUGUUGGACUCAAAGGGCAGUAUACUGGGGUAUGCUCUGCAUCUUUUAGAACAAUGUUUAUUGUUGUGAGUGCCUUGUGUUUUCUUGUUCUUACUUUGUUGAAAUACACAGAGCAAGGAAGAGAAGCAUUUUAUUCACAACCAUUUGUCUUUUACGGUCAAGUAUCAUAGAGAUACACUUACUGAAUCUGCUAGAAUUGUGGGCUUUGAGGUUAAGCCUUUCAGGUCAGUAUUUUUGUGCUUGUUUUGUUUGGUUAAGUUAUUCCAUUUAGCAGUCGUGGUUUGUAUGCAAUAUUGAUUUUACGAAUGUUUCUGUGCAGUGUUAAACAUGAAUAUGAAGGGAAGUGGGAUGAACAGGCCACCCGUUUGACAACCUGUGACCCUCAUGCUAAACACACAGUUGUGAAUUCGAACACUCCUCAAGAGGUCGAAGAGAACAAGGAAAUUAUCUUCACUUAUGAUGUUGAAUUCCAGGUGAGGUUAUUUUGAUUUGAAUAGUACAUGUAUACUUUCUUUGGUACUCAAUGAUGAUGGGUAUUGGUGGAUUAAGGCAAAUAGUUCAAAAUAUUCUUUUAUGAAUUAUGUCCUAGUAGAUAUUGUUCAUCGCUCGUUAAUGGGCAGUUUGUCUAGUUUAAUAUAGCUUUUCUUUUUUCUUUUUUCUUCUCGUAGCUUAAUUUCUUCAUUUUUUCUUCUAACCAAGGGAAGUCAUCACUCCCUCUAUUCUCAUCUUUUGUCAUCUUCUUUGACCCGCUUUUACCUUUUUCCUGCAUUUAGGAGAGUGAUGUGAAGUGGGCUUCAAGAUGGGAUGCCUAUUUGCUGAUGAGUGAUGACCAAAUUCACUGGUUCUCAAUUGUGAAUUCAUUGAUGAUUGUUCUCUUUCUCUCGGGUAUGGUAGCAAUGAUAAUGCUUCGUACACUUUACCGUGAUAUUUCAAAGUACAAUGAAUUAGAAACCCAAGAAGAAGCACAGGAAGAGACUGGUUGGAAGCUUGUCCACGGUGAUGUUUUUAGGCCACCAAACAAUCCAGAUUUGCUAUGUGUUUAUGUUGGGACUGGUGUUCAGUUUUUUGGAAUGAUACUAGUAACGAUGAUGUUUGCUGUCCUGGGGUUCCUUUCUCCUUCAAACCGAGGUGGGCUAAUGACGGUCAUGCUCUUGCUUUGGGUUUUCAUGGGAAUUUUCGCUGGUUAUGCCUCGGCUCGCUUAUAUAAAAUGUUCAAAGGAGCAGAGUGGAAGAAAAUUGCCCUCAAAACUGCAAUCAUGUUCCCUGGAAUCGUUUCUGCCAUUUUCUUUGUGUUAAAUGCUCUGAUAUGGGGACAAAAAUCGUCUGGAGCAGUGCCAUUUGGAACAAUGUUUGCCCUGAUCUUUUUAUGGUUUGGGAUCUCGGUUCCACUUGUUUUUGUUGGUGCCUAUGUUGGGUUUAGGAAGCCUGCGACUGAAAGUCCUGUGAAGACAAACAAAAUCCCAAGGCAAAUCCCUGAGCAGGCAUGGUACAUGAAUCCGGUCUUCUCAAUUCUGAUCGGAGGAAUACUUCCAUUUGGAGCUGUUUUCAUUGAGCUUUUCUUCAUCCUCACUUCAAUAUGGUUGAAUCAGUUCUACUACAUCUUCGGCUUCCUCUUCUUGGUCUUUGUCAUCCUCAUUGUCACUUGUGCUGAAAUAACAAUUGUGCUCUGCUACUUCCAGUUGUGCAGUGAGGAUUACUUGUGGUGGUGGCGGUCUUACCUUACAUCUGGCUCAUCUGCUCUUUAUCUAUUUCUUUAUGCAACAUUCUACUUCUUCACCAAGCUUGAAAUCACAAAGUUGGUAUCUGGGUUAUUGUACUUCGGUUACAUGCUUAUAGCUUCCUAUGCCUUCUUUGUUGUAACUGGAUCCAUCGGAUUUUACGCAUGCUUUUGGUUCACAAGGCUCAUCUAUUCCUCGGUCAAGAUUGAUUAGUUAUAGCAAUCAGUGGGUUGGAUUAAUCUACUAUACUUCUUGAAGGACGAAGACCAUUUGUGUAAGGAUUUUCAAAUUCAAGUACUGAUGUCAUGUUCAGAAUCAGAUGUAACCUAUUCUAUACAGUUUUGAAUUGUGACAACACCGUUAUUCUUUUGUUUCAAUAUCUUUUACUUGCCAGAGUUGUCGAAGUGUAGAUUUUAAGGUGUACGCUGCAGUCUUAACUUGGCGUUUUCUGUGUUACUUUCGGAGAAUUACAAGUUGGCUCCUUGUCAUAUGAUUUUUUAUUAUUAGCGGUGUAAUAAAAAUGAUAUCCCAACAACGUAGUUCGGACUUAUGAGCCUCUGCUGAAUUGAACCACUUUUGUCUUGUUAUUACGCACACCUAUUUCUUUUACGCACACAUAUAUAUGUCCAUAUAUGAAUUGAUAUUUUUUUCACAUUUGAUAAAUGAUUGAAGGUUGCCUAUUUUAGAUGUUUGUUCUAUUCGAAAAUUUGGCAGGCAAUAGGUGCUACCAUUGUAUUCAUUGUCUGAUGGCACCACAAGUUAUAUACGUUUGAUGUCUUGCUUUCAUACUUCCCUUAGCAAGCAAUAUAAUAGGUCGGUCGUUCACAAGUACAGCAGGAUUGAAGAAAAGUUUAUGCAUUUCAAAGCAACUAUUUGAGUGUCACGGAAUUUGCUUAGCUUGCGUUCUACGCAUCAAAGGAGAAAAUAGAAAGUAAAUCAACUUCUAAACAACUCCAGUGUCAAAGUAGUUGCUUAAUGUUACCAAAAGAAAUGCUUAGGCAGCGAAUAAAGUACAAAGCAAGGUAAUAAAGUUCACCGUUAUCUUUAAUUAUACAUCAUCUGUUAAAUUCUCAGAAAAAGGUACAGGAUAAAAAAUGGAACUAACCUUUAAGAUUUGCCCAUGUUUUUUCAUUUUUAAGCUUCUAUACUUGAUAUAUUAAGUUUGCUCUGCAUUUAACUCAAUUGUUAAAAAUUAAUGGAUCUGAAAACCCAAAUCACGAAUCUCUGACAGCACUAACAAACGUGUUAGAACCAAAUGAAACAUAUCACGAAUUCAAUGUUAUAUUUGACAAUUUUAAAGAUAAAAAAAAUAAAAGUAUGUACUAAAUAUUUGAAUUUAAGACGGAAGCACGAACAAAAUUCUCUCUUACAGGUGCAAGAAAUUAAGAAUUUAUUAGUAAUAUAUGUAUGAAGUAGAAGGAGUGUGGUCCAUUCUACAUUCCCCGAUACAAAGAUAGUUGAUAUGAAAUGAAAAGUAUUUGUGAAAAGUGGUAGUGCAAAGAAAGAUGUAAACUAUUUGCGAGGGUGAGUAUCCUGAGGUUGUGCAACUCCAGCAGAAACCUUAGCCACAUCCCUAGCAUUAGCUUCGGGCUUCUUCUUUGCAUAUAAGAUAGUAUACCCAAUUGCAGCCGUAAUAGCCAAACCAGUUACAGCCAUUGUUGUGUAGCUGUAAGGAAGUGAUUUCCUCUGAUGAAGCACUUCAGUGGCACCAUGACCUGGGGGUCUCUUUGAGGCCUCUGCUUGUGCUUUUUCUCUAUCCAUUUUCCUCUUCCUAUCUUCCUCCACCACUACCUCUUCUCUAUAUAUCAUUACCUCUUCACCCAUCUAACACUCCAACUUUGAUGUCUCAAAAUAAACCUUAAAUGUUCUCAAGCCACGUAACACCCCAACUUUCAUGUCUUCCCAACACGUAGCCACUACGUGUCCUUGAAAUCGCCUCUGGAGUUCACCAGAUUUACCAUGCAUGCUGCUUCACGCACACAUCAUGCUACCACUUUUCAAUUCCCAAAUUAUUAUUUAUACACUCAAUUCUAAC
This 11619-nucleotide long non-coding RNA is filed under the name Vigna radiata. RNAcentral's name for it is "long non-coding RNA (VRAD_LNC005664)". Lineage: Eukaryota; Viridiplantae; Streptophyta; Magnoliopsida; Fabales; Fabaceae. The record is from RNAcentral.